Pelobates cultripes (western spadefoot toad) is the source of this 282-nucleotide non-coding RNA. The record is from the annotation of a GenBank genome assembly. Lineage: Eukaryota; Metazoa; Chordata; Amphibia; Anura; Pelobatidae.
GUGAGGGAGUGGGUGACUAGUGACACAGGGAGGGAAUGGGAGACUAGUGACAGAGUGAGGGAAUGGGUGACUAGUGGCAGAGUGAGGGAGGGAAGGGGUGACUAGUGACAGAGUGGGGGGGGGGUGACUGUCACUAGUCACCCCAUCCCUCUCUCUGUCACUAGUUACUCCAUCCCUAACUCUGUCACUGUGUCACCCGCUCCCUCACUCUGUCACUAGUCACCCCCUUACUCUGUCACUGUGUUACCCCCUCCCUCUGUCACUAGUCACCCCCUCCCUCAC